GAUGAACGCUAGCGAUAGGCUUAACACAUGCAAGUCGAGGGGCCGCACAAGGUAGCUUGCUAUCUGGGUGGCGACCGGCGCACGGGUGCGUAACGCGUAUGCAACUUGCACUAUACAGGAGGAUAACCCGUCGAAAGACGGACUAAUACUGCGUCUGCUCACAACUUGGCAUCAAGUGGUGAGGAAAGAAAUUCGGUAUAGGAUAGGCAUGCGUCCCAUUAGCUUGUUGGUGAGGUAACGGCUCACCAAGGCAACGAUGGGUAGGGGAACUGAGAGGUGUCUCCCCCACACUGGUACUGAGACACGGGCCAGACUCCUACGGGAGGCAGCGGUGAGGAAUAUUGGGCAAAGAGCGCGAGCCUGAACCAGCCAAGUCGCGUGAAGGAUGACUGUCUUAUGGAUUGUAAACUUCUUUUAUACGGGAAUAACAAAAGUCACGUGUCACUCCCUGCAUGUACCGUAUGAGAAAGCAGCGGCUAACUCCGUG
RNAcentral lists this ribosomal RNA (487 nucleotides) under uncultured bacterium. RNAcentral describes it as "partial 16S ribosomal RNA". It matches the Rfam family "Bacterial small subunit ribosomal RNA", at positions 28 to 507 of the family's 1533-position model. The record is from RNAcentral.